This is a microRNA precursor of Colobus angolensis palliatus, 81 nucleotides long. The record is from Ensembl. Lineage: Eukaryota; Metazoa; Chordata; Mammalia; Primates; Cercopithecidae.
UAUUAAGUUGGUGGAAAAGUAAUUGCGUUUUUGACAUAAAUGGCAAAAACUGUAAUUACUUUUGCACCAACCUAAUAGUUU